Molecule: ribosomal RNA, 194 nt
Filed under: uncultured bacterium
Lineage: Bacteria
Description: partial 16S ribosomal RNA
Rfam family: Bacterial small subunit ribosomal RNA
Source: RNAcentral
CCUACGGGAGGCAGCAGUAGGGAAUAUUGCACAAUGGGGGGAACCCUGAUGCAGCCAUGCCGCGUGUGUGAAGAAGGCCUUCGGGUUGUAAAGCACUUUCAGUUUGGAGGAAGGUAUUUGAGUUAAUAGCUUAGAUAUUUGACGUUACAAACAGAAGAAGCACCGGCUAACACCAUACCAGCAGCCGCGGUAAU